RNAcentral lists this long non-coding RNA (230 nucleotides) under Gallus gallus (chicken). The record is from RNAcentral. Lineage: Eukaryota; Metazoa; Chordata; Aves; Galliformes; Phasianidae.
UGCAAUCAUCUACUGUUGGGGUAAUGUUAUCUUCCAUAGACAACUCUGAUUCUUGUCUCAAAACAGCUUUCUUUGCAGACACAGCAUUACGAUCACUUUCACUUCCAUGUUUUUGUACUUUAUCUCCUGCAGGAGACUGGAUUUCAUUGAGAGUCUCUCCUUUCUCAUUACUAUGCAUAAAGGAGCCUGUGCUUGGUUUCUCAUCCUUCCCCUUCCCUGCUUUAUCACCA